GAGCACUGGUUUAUUUCUAAUACAACAGGAAAAACGUUUCCACUAGCUAUGCCCAAACCAUUCCAUUUUGAGGUCUCCUUUCCAGGUACAAUGUUGCACAUGAGCUUAGCUGUGCAGAAAUUUUACAAAGUCUUUAUCCUGUAUCUAAGGUCACUACAGAAACAAAGAAGCACUUUGGCAAUUCAUCUGACUUAGGCCCUCCAAAGAAGAAAAUCCUACUAUGCUUCCUGUUUUCUUCCCAGAUGUUUCCCCUAAAUUCCUGCAACUGAAAGCUAGAGCUUAUGAAGCACCAGGACCCAGAAAGACUGACUCCUCACCGCUUUCCAUCUCCUGAUCUUGUUUACAUGUGUUUGUCUGCAAAAGUUUUAAUGGAAUAAGAGAAAACGAGCGCUUGAAUUUCCCAGUAAAAUCUGUGCCGCAGCAUGA
Long non-coding RNA from Neofelis nebulosa (Clouded leopard), 426 nucleotides. RefSeq lists it as uncharacterized. The transcript is spliced from 2 exons. Lineage: Eukaryota; Metazoa; Chordata; Mammalia; Carnivora; Felidae. The record is from RefSeq and is a predicted model, not a curated record.